This 690-nucleotide ribosomal RNA is filed under the name uncultured Staphylococcus sp. RNAcentral's name for it is "bacterial SSU rRNA". It matches the Rfam family "Bacterial small subunit ribosomal RNA", at positions 60 to 732 of the family's 1533-position model. The record is from RNAcentral. Lineage: Bacteria; Bacillati; Bacillota; Bacilli; Caryophanales; Staphylococcaceae.
AGUCGAGCGAACAGACGAGGAGCUUGCUCCUCUGACGUUAGCGGCGGACGGGUGAGCAACACGUGGAUAACCUACCUAUAAGACUGGGAUAACUUCGGGAAACCGGAGCUAAUACCGGAUAAUAUAUUGAACCGCAUGGUUCAAUAGUGAAAGACGGUUUUGCUGUCACUUAUAGAUGGAUCCGCGCCGCAUUAGCUAGUCGGUAAGGUAACGGCUUACCAAGGCAACGAUGCGUAGCCGACCUGAGAGGGUGAUCGGCCACACUGGAACUGAGACACGGUCCAGACUCCUACGGGAGGCAGUAGUAGGGAAUCUUCCGCAAUGGGCGAAAGCCUGACGGAGCAACGCCGCGUGAGUGAUGAAGGUCUUCGGAUCGUAAAACUCUGUUAUUAGGGAAGAACAAAUGUGUAAGUAACUAUGCACGUCUUGACGGUACCUAAUCAGAAAGCCACGGCUAACUACGUGCCAGCAGCCGCGGUAAUACGUAGGUGGCAAGCGUUAUCCGGAAUUAUUGGGCGUAAAGCGCGCGUAGGCGGUUUUUUAAGUCUGAUGUGAAAGCCCACGGCUCAACCGUGGAGGGUCAUUGGAAACUGGAAAACUUGAGUGCAGAAGAGGAAAGUGGAAUUCCAUGUGUAGCGGUGAAAUGCGCAGAGAUAUGGAGGAACACCAGUGGCGAAGGCGACUUUCUGG